This 313-nucleotide unclassified non-coding RNA is filed under the name uncultured Agaricales. RNAcentral describes it as "sequence contains 5.8S rRNA gene, ITS2, 28S rRNA gene". The stretch from base 1 to 53 matches the Rfam family "5.8S ribosomal RNA", at positions 103 to 154 of the family's 154-position model. The record is from RNAcentral. Lineage: Eukaryota; Fungi; Basidiomycota; Agaricomycetes; Agaricales.
AACGCAUAUUGCACCCUUUGGUUAUUCCGAAGGGUAUGCCUGUUUGAGUGUCGUUAAUGUAUCAAACCAUCAAGUUUGCUUGCUUGGUCUUGGAUAAUGAGGGUUGCUGGAAGUUGAUGAUCAGCUCCCUUUAAAUGUAUUAGCUUGGAUUGUAUAAGCCAUUGAAGCUUGAGCUGAUAUGAAUACACUGUAUUAAAUGCUUUUGCUGAAGUACUGCUUGUUCAAGCUUAUAAUUGUCUCCUUGAGACUGUCCAAGGACAUGUAAAAUCAUGAUCAUGACCUCAAAUCAGGUAGGACUACCCGCUGAACUUAA